RNAcentral lists this transfer RNA (68 nucleotides) under Drieschia cf. elegans BG-2021. Its description in RNAcentral is "tRNA-Arg". Lineage: Eukaryota; Metazoa; Annelida; Polychaeta; Phyllodocida; Polynoidae. The record is from RNAcentral.
AGAUUAGCGCAUAAAUCUGCACCCUGGUUUCGGCCCAGGUCUUUGGGUUGAAAUCACCUACUAAUCUU